This 495-nucleotide ribosomal RNA is filed under the name uncultured bacterium. RNAcentral describes it as "partial 16S ribosomal RNA". It matches the Rfam family "Bacterial small subunit ribosomal RNA", at positions 30 to 507 of the family's 1533-position model. The record is from RNAcentral.
UGAACGCUGGCGGCGUGCCUAAUACAUGCAAGUCGAGCGAACGGACGCGAAGCUUGCUUUUCUGAUGUUAGCGGCGGACGGGUGAGUAACACGUGGAUAACCUACCUAUAAGACUGGGAUAACUUCGGGAAACCGGAGCUAAUACCGGAUAAUAUUUUGAACCGCAUGGUUCAAAAGUGAAAGACGGUCUUGCUGUCACUUAUAGAUGGAUCCGCUCUGCAUUAGCUAGUUGGUAAGGUAACGGCUUACCAAGGCAACGAUGCAUAGCCGACCUGAGAGGGUGAUCGGCCACACUGGAACUGAGACACGGUCCAGACUCCUACGGGAGGCAGCAGUAGGGAAUCUUCCGCAAUGGGCGAAAGCCUGACGGAGCAACGCCGCGUGAGUGAUGAAGGUCUUCGGAUCGUAAAACUCUGUUAUUAGGGAAGAACAUAUGUGUAAGUAACUGUGCACAUCUUGACGGUACCUAAUCAGAAAGCCACGGCUAACUACGUG